RNAcentral lists this transfer RNA (73 nucleotides) under Candidatus Hodgkinia cicadicola. Its description in RNAcentral is "tRNA-Gly". The record is from RNAcentral. Lineage: Bacteria; Pseudomonadati; Pseudomonadota; Alphaproteobacteria; Hyphomicrobiales.
GCGAACAUAACUUAGUUGGCAAAGCUCAAUCUUGGCAAGAUUGUGCUCGGGUGUUCGAGUCGCCUUGUUCGCU